GACGUAGGGGGCGAGCGUUGUCCGGAUUCAUUGGGCGUAAAGCGCGCGCAGGCGGCCCGGUAAGUCGGAUGUGAAAUCUCACGGCUCAACCGUGAAACUGCAUUCGAUACUGUCGGGCUAGAGGCAGGUAGGGGAGAUCGGAAUUCCUGGUGUAGCGGUGAAAUGCGCAGAUAUCAGGAGGAACACCGGUGGCGAAGGCGGAUCUCUGGGCCUGUCCUGACGCUCAGGCGCGAAAGCUAGGGGAGCGAACAGG
RNAcentral lists this ribosomal RNA (253 nucleotides) under uncultured bacterium. Its description in RNAcentral is "partial 16S ribosomal RNA". It matches the Rfam family "Bacterial small subunit ribosomal RNA", at positions 524 to 776 of the family's 1533-position model. The record is from RNAcentral.